AAGGAUUAUUUAGAUGAGGUUCACC
This 25-nucleotide non-coding RNA is filed under the name Cricetulus griseus (Chinese hamster). The record is from RNAcentral. Lineage: Eukaryota; Metazoa; Chordata; Mammalia; Rodentia; Cricetidae.